RNAcentral lists this ribosomal RNA (627 nucleotides) under Mycoplasma wenyonii. RNAcentral's name for it is "bacterial SSU rRNA". It matches the Rfam family "Bacterial small subunit ribosomal RNA", at positions 373 to 997 of the family's 1533-position model. Lineage: Bacteria; Bacillati; Mycoplasmatota; Mollicutes; Mycoplasmatales; Mycoplasmataceae. The record is from RNAcentral.
UUACGAAAGUUUUAUGGAGCAAUACAACGGGAACCAAGAAGGUCUUCUGAUUGUAAAGUUCUUUUAUUUAGGAAAAAAAGCGCGCUAGGAAAUGAGCGCGCCUUGAUGGUACUAAUUGAAUAAGUGACAGCUAACUAUGUGCCAGCAGCUGCGGUAAAACAUAGGUCACGAGCAUUAUCCGGAUUUAUUGGGCGUAAAGGAAGCGUAGGUGGAGAGGUUGAUCCAUUGUUAAAGGCAUUUGCUUAACAAAUGUGUGCGAUGGAGAUCGCCUCCCUAGAGUUAAUCAGGGGGUACUGGAAUUCAAUGUGUAGCGGUGGAAUGCGUAGAUAUAUUGAGGAACACCAGAGGCUAAGGCGAGUACCUAGGAUAUAACUGACACUGAGGCUUGAAAGCGUGGGGAGCAAAUGGGAUUAGAUACCCCAGUAGUCCACGCCGUAAACGAUGGGCAUUAGGUAUUUGACAUCUGGUCGAGUGCUGUAGCUAACGCGUUAAAUGCCCCGCCUGGGUAGUAUAUAUGCAAAUAUGAAACUCAAAGAAAUUGACGGGGACCUGAACAAGUGGUGGAGCAUGUUGCUUAAUUCGAUAAUACACGAAAAACCUUACCAACCCUUGCAAUCUAUGGGCAAA